CCAGAGUGUACCCAUGUGUACAUGGAAUGGUUGUUAGCCUGGAUAUUUUUUAAAACAUUUACAAAGGUUACUAUAGAGGUCUAUGGGAAAACAUUUGGUGUGUAACCUCAAUGGCUCUGGGAAUGUGGUGUAACAAAGGGAAAUAACUCUGGUUGACAGGUGUUGAAAGAGUUAAAUAUGUAUUAAAAUUCUGUUCCUGAGAACAAUUUUCAGUAUAUAUUUAUAAACAGAGCAAUUUAUACUAGAAAAGAGUUGGUGCAAAUGAAGAUAAUUGAAACAAAUAUUUACUCUUUUUGUCAAUCUGAACCAGAAAGCCUCCAUGUAUUCACAAAAUGUAAUCUUGUACAGGAAUUUUGGAGAAAAGUUCAAAACUUUAUUAAUCCUACACAUUGUAAUGUUCCUAUUUCUGAUCAAGACAUUCUCUUUUGCAACAGUUCAGCUAGUCUACUAGCAACACACAUUAUCCUGUUGGCCCAAAAAUAUGUUUUUUCUUCAAGUAUAAAACAGAAUGAAAUAUCCAGUGAUUGUUUUGCUAAUAUCGUCAAGGAUGUGUAGAAAGAAUUAUUGCUUGUAAGAACAAUGUUUUGCCUUAAUUUCAUUCCAAAUGGAAACCUAUGAACAAUGUAUCAUAGAUAUAUAUAAUUAUACACCUCACAUGUCCAUCAUUUUAUGAGCGCUUCAUUGUAUAUGCUCUGAAAAACAAUGAUAAAUGAAAUCAAACUGUACACCUGCUGAACUGAAAUGAAUAAAAAAAUUGAAAAAAGAACCCCCAUACUGUGCAAAAUUGUGCAUGGAUGUAAAUAGGGUUGCUUAAUAACCAGUUUCUCGAGAACAAUUUAGUUUGUAGCAUAGAUUAACUGGGGUUUACUUGCUGUAUUUUUGUAUGUUCUGGUUCAGAUACCUCUUGCUUCCAACUUCAUGAAUGUAUAUCUUCCAUUUCAGUUCUAUACUACAUAUACUUUUGAAGUGUAAAUGUCAUUCAUAAGAAUAAUUUUUGCAUUAAUAAAAAAAUUCACAACAUGAUUUUCAUUCUAAAUUUGGUUAAUGGAGUAGUUUUGUGUAAACUUUACACAGUUGUUUUUGUAACAAGGUAUGAACUAACGGUACUCUACUCUUUCAACAGUUGACACCUCCCCAAGUCAUCCUGACGAAUAGAUGACGAUGAAAGCAAUCUGACAAGGUAUUACAUUAAUCAAAUUAAUUGGAUUUUAACAAAACCAUGUCUCCUGCUGUAUGACAAUGAGGACUGAACUAAUGGUUCAUUGACUAUUUUUUUCAAAGCGGCACAGAUUUUCAGGUGUCUAUCUAUAUUUUUUCCAAAAGAUGUCAUCUGAUGACCAAACAUGAAAACAAAUAUGGAAUAUUCCAUGUAAUGUAAGUUCUGACAUCCAUGCAGACAUCUUCCUCAAUUGACCUACGCCCUGAUAUAACUGACCUACUGUUGCUUAUAGGGCUGGGACGAUUCACCGAUACAUCGCGAUACAAUUAAGUUUGUUACAGCUAUCGUAUCGUCAACUGGUGUAUCGAUACAAAAUGAUACACAAGUUUUUUUCAAAACGGUUUUAUCUUAAACAUGUUAAAGUACUUAGGCCAAAAAGAUGUAUGUCCGUUUCCUAUUACAUCCUUUUUUAAAAAUAGGGAAGGUGGGUCGGCUUUAUUAUCUUAUUUUUUUUUUAUUUUUUUUUUUUGUAGCACCAGGUGGGCACCUGAGAAGGUUUUCAAAGAUAUCACAUCAUGUAGUGACAAUGCCUUGUGGUGAAACAUUGAAAGAUUUCUAUAUCAAAUCAUUAUUCAUGCUAUAUUGAUACUAUGAGAUCAGCAUUUCAGUAUCAUUAGAAACUCCACAAACAGGUGUCAGUGGACGAGGCCAUGGUUCCUUUCAAGGGCAGGCUCGGCAUCAAACAGUAUAUGAAGGACAAGCCUACAAAGUUCGGAGUGAAAGUCUGGGUAUUGGCGGAAUCUGUCACUGGGUAUUGUUGGAAUUUUGAUGUUUAUGCCGGUAAGUAUGGUACCAAAAUUGACAGCAAGUUAGGCCUUGCUGGACAGAUAGUGAUCAAAUUGUGUGAAAACAUAAUUGUCACAAAUAGCCCUUUAGCCACAAUCACCAAGAGUGGAUCGCCCACACACACCAUCUGAUAAUAGGUUGAUGCAUGUGCUGCAUGGGGAAUACAUGUGCUGUUGUGUAUUUAAGAGAGUGAUUGGAGAGGAGUGUUAAACAGAUGAUAUAUUUGCUUGAAGUGGAUGCAUGGGCUAUUAUGAGCCUGUUGAUGUUGAACAUCAGGGGCAUGGUAGUUGUUGACAAAUGAUGCACGUCAAGUAUUUGUCUUGUCCUAGCUACGCCUACAUGUAUGUUCGAGUGUGGAACGUCGUCAGCUGUGAUGUCAUUGGGUCGGCAGUGUAACCAAAAGACUUUGGUAAAGUUGUUACAUUGACUGCGUGAAGCAACUCAGUCUUGUGUUGGCUAUUCUUCAUCCCACGUUAUGGUGGAUACUCAUGCCCACGUUAUGGCGGUGCAUUAGUGCUGUAGACGCACACUAACAUUAACUUUUCAUUCAAGUGUAUGACUUGUAUUUCUCAUGGUAUGAUGAGACAAUCGUAUCCAAGCCUGCGUUAUGGUGGGACAGUAAUGAUAUAACUGCACGUGAACUUCUUUCAAGUGUUUGACUUGUACUAGUAUAUCUGUUUAGAAACAUUUAUUUGAUGUAUUUAUUGUAUGUUUGGUACAUGUGAAUGCUUCAGCGAAUAGUGUUUGCAUGUGUGGAUUGUUUGCACAUGUAUUUAGGUUGGUGAGUAGUUGUUGGGAGCAUUGACAUUGAUUACAUGAAGUAGUUUUGUUCAUAAUAAACUUUAUUUAUUUUGUUUACAAUUUCGUCUUUUCGUUCGGGGUCUAUACCAGUGCUACCCUUGGUCACUAUCUGUUGCAGAAACAUACUUACCUGUGUGGCACAGCUCGUACCAACAGGAAGGGCUACCCCGCCGUUCAUCUCCCUUCAGGUAAGGCAGCAAAUCGUCUGCAGAGAGGGACCAUCGACUGGCGAGCUUGUGGGGACUUCGUUGCAACCAUGUGCAAAGAUAACAAGCCUCUUUUCUACCUCAGCACGGCACACUCUCCCGAGGAAGAUGGUUUGACCACCAAAAGGAGGAAGAAGGAUGUGAAGGAUUAUGGAAAGUAUAUGGGAGGGGUUGAUAGGUUAGACCAAAACACUCGCCAAAAUAAGGGCAAAAAACCCAUGAGGUGGUAUAGGCGUGUUGAGGUGAAGUUGAGAGAGAUAGCCAUUUACAAUGCCUAUGUCAUUGAAGGUACCUUCAUCAACCACAUGCCAGGUGGGAAUAGAAAGCGAGAUAUGCUGGCCUUCAAGCUUGGACUGCUGCAUCAACUCAUUCGAGGGUACCGUCAGGACAGGAGGCUAGGUCGUUCCAGAUGAGUCAUCGUUGGAGCAGGAACGCUUGGAUGGGAACGGUCACUGGCCAGUGCCGUCAGGUAGUCUUGACACCCGGUGCUUGGUUUGUGUGAAGAUGCACAAUGUGUAUCGUGUGCAGCACCCAGGUACAAAGUAUGCUGACAAUCCAUUUAAACGAACGAAAUCAUCCUUUAAAUAUGCUCAAAAUGCAAUGUUCCAUUGUGUGUAAAUUCAACAAAGUCAUGCUUCAUGUACUACCACACUAAAGUGCAGUACUGGCGUUGAUGUUUACAUACUGAUGAAAUGUUUCACACCUGUUGUUCAUGAAAGUUUCUAUUUGCCAUUGCUUAUGAUUGUGGGUGUACAUAUUCAUAUAUUUGAACCUUGAGCGCCUGACAGGCGAUUGUAUUCUCCACAGGGAGUGUUCUGUACUCAUUGACCAGGGGUAAUAUAUGAGCGCUUUGAGCGUGGAUAAAUGCGCAAAAUAAACGGACUAUUAUUAGUAUUACUAUUAUAUAUAUAUAUAUUGAUUACUAUUUAUUCAUAUUUAUUGAACAUUUACACUUAUGUUUCUGUUAUAAAUUAUUUUUGUACAGUAGAUUUCUUUGUGUGUAUAUAUAUUUAUUGUCUUCCUUUCCAAACUUCUCUCUCCUUUCUUUUCUACAGGCAAAAAGUGAGUAUUGAGGUGGCAUGUAACUUUCAAUGUAGUUUUAGCUAACCUGAUGUCACAUUGUUAGAAGCGAAAAAAUCAGCUGAGUGUUAACAUGUUUUUUCUUGUCAUGCCAGGUAAAAACGGCAUCAUCAAAGCGAGAUAAUCACACCUGCCAAUCAAGCUUCAGCUACCUGUGCCAUCUAAUGAUGGAAAACAUUUUAUUUGCACUGUCAAUGUAUGAUAUUUGACAAUAAAGUAAUUUUGCCCUUUUGUCAACUUUUGUCUUUUUUUCACUUGGUCCUGCUGACCAUGGCAAAUGAAAUGAUCUUUCAGACGAGUUGCUGCUGCAUAAUAUUGCCUCUUUAUUAUUCUAGAUUCCAAUAUAAUAUUCCUUUUGUAUGAAAAGCAUUAAUAUUUCAACUAUUCAACUUGAAACACUCAGAAAAUACCCUGUGAUAUAAUUUCAGGUGAAGAAAAGGGUCAUUUCAAAAGGGAGGUAAUCCAGUCACCACACCUGCCAAUCAAGCUUCUUUUUUUUUUUAUACCUGUGAUGGCAAAAUAUAUAAAGCCUAUGUACUUUGCAUAUUAUAUGAUAAUACAAUAAUAUAUUUCAACCUAAAGUGAUUUUUGUGCAUUUUUACUUUCCUGGACUAACGAGUUUACCUGAGCUAACGAGUAUACCUCUUGUAGAUGCAGCAACACCCCUUAAAAAUGUUGUGUUGAUGUUCCAUUGUAAAAUAUAAUGUCAACACGCAAACAACUUUUAUAUGACAUACAAAUAUAUUUCAUUAUUUCAGCGAAGCAAUUCUGCACCUGGAUGAUUCUCUCACCUGUACAACACCUGGAUGACCUGCUUUUCUACGGAUUGCCAAAGAUCAUAAGACACUAUUUAUUGCCUGUUAUCGCAUUUUUGGGACUAAUAUAUAUAUAUAUAUUUAUUUCUUCA
This is a long non-coding RNA of Haliotis rubra (blacklip abalone), 4999 nucleotides long. RefSeq lists it as uncharacterized. The record is from RefSeq and is a predicted model, not a curated record. The transcript is spliced from 2 exons. Lineage: Eukaryota; Metazoa; Mollusca; Gastropoda; Lepetellida; Haliotidae.